Molecule: transfer RNA, 5688 nt
Filed under: Marmota monax (woodchuck)
Lineage: Eukaryota; Metazoa; Chordata; Mammalia; Rodentia; Sciuridae
Source: RNAcentral
AUUAUUAUAUUUUCAUGAUAUACACUAUCUAGUAAUGAUAGCUCCUUCUUUUGCUCUUAUAAUUAAAAGGUUUCUUGGCUAAAUGAUAUAUUUAACUGUAUGGAUAACUUUUAGAAAUUUACUCUUUGGUUCCUUAUUCCAUUACAAAUAAAGCAUGCUGAAUUUUUUUUAUUAGUGCAUUAUAGUUAUACAUAAUGUUGGGGUUUAUUUGACAUAAUCAUACAAGCAUGAAUGUAAUUUGCUCCAUUUUAGUGGUUCUUCCCCUUUUUCCUCACCUCCCACCUCCCCAUUCUCCCUCCUCUCCUGGUCUUCUUCUAUUUAUUUAUAGUUUUAAACUGCUGGUUUAUAGAUAAACAUAAUGGUGAAAUUCACUGUGAUAUAUUCAUGUGUGUACAGAGCAGUUUUGAUGGGAUAAUAAAUAUUAUAGAUAAGGGUGGGGGAAAUGGUCAUUCUUUUAAUGAUGAUUUUUGUCAUUGGUAAAUGGGGUGUAUAAUUGAGUCUUUUAUGUACUUGUGUAUAUUUUAGUUUCUCAUAAAUCCCACAUAUUUCUUUUAAGAAACAUGUUCACAUGUGAAAUACAACAUUCAUGUGAAUCUGUAUGAAACUUUGGUAGUGCCAGGCUUGGUGGCCCUGAGUCUGUUACAACAAUCUGUAAUCCCAGUGGCUCAGGAGUCUGAGGCAGGAACAUCCUGAGUUCCACCCAACCUCAGCAACUUAUCAAGGUCCUAAGCAAGUCAGUAAGAUCCUGUGUCUAAAUAAAAUUCAAAAAAGGGCUGGGGAUAUGGCUCAGGGGUUAAGUGGCCCUGAGUUGAACCCCUGGUACAAAAAAAAAAAAAAAAAAAGUCUUACAUGGUGUAAACUUGUGUGUGUCCGUCCUUACCUGGUCAAAAUGACUUUCCCCCAUGUAGACUUUAUGUCACUGGGUUCUCAUUAUCCCCUCUGAUAUUUUCCUGAUCCCAUGUUUCAGAACUGCUUGAUGCGAGGAUCCCACAGCUGGCCUAAGUUCUCUUGGAGUGUCUCAUGAACAUCAGUACCUGGGUCUUAACCUAUUAGAAAGCUGUCUGAAUUUAGGGGUGUAGUCUCUCAAGAGUAGCUGAGUGUCCUGCAGGUGGGAGGAAUCUCCUGGUGCACCCUUUAUCCAAAAGACACUUUUUCCCUUACCUUGGCUACUGUGUAUACUGCCAAGUGAAGAUGAGUAUGAAGUCUUUUAUUAACAGAGGGAUUCCAGUUUCUUUGGCUGUGUACCCAGUAUUAUUAUCAGUGUAUCAUAUAGUAGUUCUAUAUUUAGUUUUUAAACAGCUUUCAUGCUAUUUAUAAAAAAAAUCUGUACCAAAUUUAUAUUCUAGAAACAGUGUAAAAGGGGUUCUUUCUUCCAUUUCCAUACGAUCAGAGACCUCAUUUGCUUAGGCUGCAGGAGGUCUUACAGUUGACUGGAGCACUAAAUUCUGAUGCAAGCUUGCUAGAAUUCAGGCUGCCCAGUAGCCACUGGAAGAAGGAGCUGUGAACCUCUUCUAGAAAUAAAGAGAAUAAGCAGAGAUGUGUAGGUGGGCAUGGUGGUGCAUGCCUGUAUUCCCAUCACCUGGGGAGGCCAAGGCAGGAGGAUUGCAACAGUUCAAAGCCAGCCUCAGCCACUUAGCAAGGCCCUAAGCAGCUGAACAUGACCUUGUCCCCAAAUAAAAAAUAAUAAAAGGGCCAGGGAUGUGAUUCAGUUGUAAACUUCCUGAGGGUUCAAUCCCUGGUACAAAAUAACAACCACAACACACAAGCAAAACAAGGAUCUGUGCUUUUUAACCAUUUUUCUUCACUCCUGGUGAGGUCUGUAGCCCACUUAAGGGUUGCACACCAAUGUGAAGCCCCUCCUCUGUGAUCUGGGGAGAUACACACAUGCUCAAUUGCCAUUUCUCCCAGGGUUUGGGGGUUUUGGAUGCAGUUCAUUGAAUGAAAUGAGUUAAAGUUGGGACACUCAAAUUUUGCAUGCUCAAAUUUCUUUUCUUUUUUUUAAAAAAAUAUUUUAUUUUUUUAGUUAUAGUUGGACACAACACCUUUAUUUUAUUUAUUUAUUUUUAUGUGGUGCUGAGGAUCGAACCCAGGGCCUCGCACGUGCUAGGUGAGUGCUCUACCGCUGAGCCACAACCCCAGCCCCUCAAAUUUCUUAAAGAAAGAAUUGGCAGGCCUGGUUCCUACUGAGUAGCUGUGUGGUGGGUGGGUGGGCUCAGGAAGUGCUGUACUCCCACUUGGGCUUCCUGUGGUGGACUGUGUUUCCCUGUUAACUCUGGUGCUGGCUACAAAGAAGCUCAGCUGUUAGCAACAGCAAUUUGCAGAAUUUGCUGGCAAAUCUUUUCUAGGAAUAAACUGGGACCCCUGGAGAUUUAACUCUUCCUACUUGUCCCAGGGAAGAAGCCCAGGGAUUAUGCACAGCCAUAGAAAACCAUUAGUUUGUCCUCUGGUCUUGAUACUGGUGUAUUUCUAGUCCCUUCCUCUCUGUGCACCAGAUAAAUUCAGGUCCAACUACAGGCAAUUUAGUUAAAUAUGCUUUAUUUUUGACCCCAAUCAUCUCUACUCAAGGUGACACUAGAUUUGGAGUAUUCUGUCCGAAUUAUAGGCUCAUUGCUUAAGGCAUGAGUUAUGCCCAAGUGUACCUCAACUUUUCCUACUCAUCUGAUGAUGAGUAGUUUUCUCAGUUGUUCAUUGUAUAUACAUCUCUCAACUCAUUUAGGAGUCUGUUUAAGAGGGACUCAAAACAGAAGCAGAUGUUUGGUGUCUCAUGAAGGGAGAGUCAGCAGCCCCCUAGUCUGCUCUGUUUGGAAUAUUAUCCUGCUUAACCUCUGCUUCUUGGGGAGUACUGGACUACAACUCAGGGCCACACCCUUGCUGCACACACUCUACCAGUAGUCUGUGCCUCCAGUUCUAACAUCUACCUUUAGGUUGCGUUGUGUCGUUCAUUCACAUUAAAUACGUUUCUUGAUAUGGUUGGAUGUGUAGAUUCUUCUGUUGCACUUAACAAUACAAAUGAUUUUUAUAUACAUAUGAAUGUACCUGUGGAAUUUUCUGUAUUGUGAUUCUGGGGUCUUUAUUUUUGUAAUAGUAUAGUUCACUCAUAUACAUUAGUGUCAGGAAAUGAUAGCUGCUACUUUUGCAUGAUAAAAUUUUGAUGGGAUAUUAUUCUAGAUUAACUUGGGGAAAUGAUCACCUUGAUAAUGAAGAGUUUUGUCAUCUAUACAUGGGAUGUGUAAUUGAGUCUUUUAUGUUCUUCUGUGUAUUUUAUGUUCUCCUAAAGUUUACACAUUUCUUUUUAAAACAUGCUUUGUGUUAAAUGCAACAUUUGUGUGACACUUAUUGAAAACUGACAUGUAGUAUACUAUUUUAAUAAUUGUAUGUACUAUGACAUAAAUGUGUCUGGCUCCUAGAAACCAUUAUUUCCCACAUUUGUUGUUCCUCUUCCUGAGUGUGCAGGCUCCUUAGGCACACCCCUGGGCCUCAGGUCUUUGGGCAAUAUAGCUGUGUCCUUCUAUGUCAUUAGGGUUCACAUCUGCUGCCAUUUCUAGGAGCCUCUGUUUCUGGUGGGGGAGUAUCAUGUAUCUUUAGUGGCAAAAUAGUUUCCACAGAUAGAUAAUGACAACUUAAACUUCAUCUUUACUUCAUGAGCAUUCAUUUACUCCAUAUAGUCAUCAAUAUUAUUUAAUUUUCUGUGUAUUACGUGUUUUUUUUAUUUUACAUUUCUCUAAUUUCUAAAGAGGUUGAGUCUUCUAUGAUUAUUGAACACUUAGAUGUGUCCUUUAAAAAGUGAUUUUUCAAGGCUCUUGCUUGCUUUUCUCUUGGGGUCUCUCUCUAAACGUUUCAUUGUGUAUUUGAUUAUAUGUGAGAAGAUGAGUUUCUUGACUUUGUGACUUCUCCUUGCACUUUUUAUUGGUAUCAUUUGAUAAAUAGAGUUUUUUAUUGGUAUUGUAUAAUUUAUAAAUUUAAAAAAUGUUGUGUAACUUUGCAGAGAAAUAGUUCUCUUUUAUAUUUGUUGUUAUUUUCCUUCUUCUUUUGUGAUACUGGGGAUUGAAGUCAGGGGUCCUAUCACUGAGUUGCAUCCUCAGCCCUUUGAAAAAUAUUAUUUUGCCUCAGGAUGUUGCUGAGUUGUUGCGGCUGGCCUCACAAUUGUGAUCCUCCUGCCUUAGCCUCCAGAGCAACUGAUAUUGCAGGUGUGCACCACUAUAUGCACCCUAGUCCACCCUUUCUUACACUGACUUUCCAAUGCUUUAUAUUUUCUUUUGAGUUCAGAAUUUAUUGCAUCUGAAAAUCAGUUCUUAUGUGAUAUGGGUGAAGGGUACAAUAGCAUUUUUAUUUUCACAAAGAUGUCCCAUUAUUUCUGCAUUUUUUUUUGGGGGGGGGGAAAUGCCAUUUUUUAUUCCCUUAUCAUUGUCUAAUAGCAAGGGAUGUAUGAAGGGUUUUAUUUUUAGUUCCACAGCCUAAUUAUUUCUUUAACUACAUGGUCUACACUGAACACUGUAACUUUGUAAUAUACAUGUGUGGAAUAAUGGUGUUUUGGUUAAGGAUAGACUUUAUGUACAUUGGUGGUAGCAUAUAGCCUAUGCACAUAGUAGUUCAUACAAUUUAGGGCUCCUCAGCACUCUCUAUGAUGAUGAAAUCAUCUUACAAUACAUCUUCCAGAAUAUAUUCUCAUCAUUAAUUGAAACAUGUUGUAUAUGUACAUAUAUAUAGAAUUAUAUAAUAUAUAGUUAAUGCAAUGUUUAUUUGUCAAAUUUACCAGAGUUCUUUCAAUUUCAAUUGUCUUCUCAAGGAACAACCUUUGACAUUAGUGAUCCCCUGUGUUGUGUGUGUGUGUGUGUGUUUCCAUAUUUUCAAAUUUUGCUUUUUUGGUUAGCAUUUUCUUUGUUUUUAUUUUUAUAAAUUUUGUUUUUUCCAAAUUACUGAGUGCGAUUACUUGCUGAUACAUUCUUCAUCUUUUUAUAGUUAACUGGUUAAAGACUCUAUAUUUUCUUUUUAGCCUCAGCUUUAGAUGCAUUCCAUUUUUUUUACAGUCUUAUGCAAGUUUGAUGGACAUAUGUUAACUUGUAUACAUCAAAGGUUUAUGCUUUUACGUUUAAACAUAUGUACAUGUACACAUCCAUGAAACCAGGUUUUCAAUCAACAAAAUUAUCAUAUUCACUAUUAAAAGUGUCCUCUAGUGCCCAUUUAAAUCCCUCCUUUAUGCUCUUACCCCAAAUUUUAUGUAAUAAAUUAGGUCUUAUUGAGCAAGAAGAGGGCAAACUUCAAAAUGAUAAAGAUCCUUGAAUUACCAUAGAGGGAGCACUUCCUGUCUCUACUGCCUCCAACAAGACACAGAGCAUUGAUGAUCCCCAACAACUCUCCCUGCCCUCUUCCUCUUACCACCCUCCAUUCUACCCAGUGGCUAAUGCUGCUUUCCUUUUUCAUAUAGUUCUAGGUAAGUAUUUGUUAAAGGCAAAGCAAGCAAACGGUAAAAGAGAAGUGUGACUCCCUCUUUACUGGUUCAUAGAAACAGGGGAGGAGAAAGGGGCAACAGUGGGCUGGGCUGCAGCACUGACCCCAGCCCAGCCGAGUGCUCUCUGAUAGGAGGCAAGUGAGGUUAAUCCUAGGAUGAAGGAGAGGCUGGGCAGGACGUGAGACUAUGGCUGCUAGGAGAGGUUGGCAGACUGCAAGCUGUAGGAGUGGGGAAAGGAG